RNAcentral lists this ribosomal RNA (491 nucleotides) under uncultured bacterium. RNAcentral describes it as "partial 16S ribosomal RNA". It matches the Rfam family "Bacterial small subunit ribosomal RNA", at positions 30 to 507 of the family's 1533-position model. The record is from RNAcentral.
UUGAACGCUGGCGGCAUGCUUUACACAUGCAAGUCGAACGGUAACAGGCCUUCGGGUGCUGACGAGUGGCGAACGGGUGAGUAAUGCAUCGGAACGUACCCAGAGGUGGGGGAUAACGCAGCGAAAGCUGUGCUAAUACUGCAUGUGUUCUGAGGAUGAAAGCGGGGGACCGAGCAGCAAUGUUUGGCCUCGCGCCUUUGGAGCGGCCGAUGUCGGAUUAGCUAGUUGGUGGGGUAAAGGCCUACCAAGGCGACGAUCCGUAGCUGGUCUGAGAGGACGACCGGCCACACUGGGACUGAGACACGGCCCAGACUCCUACGGGAGGCAGCAGUGGGGAAUUUUGGACAAUGGGCGCAAGCCUGAUCCAGCAAUGCCGCGUGCGGGAAGAAGGCCUUCGGGUUGUAAACCGCUUUUGGCAGGAACGAAACGGUGUCCGCUAAUACCGGGCGCUAAUGACGGUACCUGCAGAAUAAGCACCGGCUAACUACGUG